Molecule: long non-coding RNA, 381 nt
Organism: Bufo bufo (common toad)
Lineage: Eukaryota; Metazoa; Chordata; Amphibia; Anura; Bufonidae
Exons: 3
Source: RefSeq, a predicted model, not a curated record
CCGCAACUUCAGUGUAGUCACUGUUACCUUCACAAAGGCCACAGAAUCCACAGAAGAAGCCGCCGUCUGCGUCCAGGAGACAAUUAUUGGUGACUACUGAUCUAUGGAAAAUGUUAAAUACCGAGAUUUACCAAAUGUUACGCUGUGUCUAUCCUGAUAGUGUCCCCGGCCUGAGCUCAGAAUGUCACCAGUGCCGUGUGUUACCCACAUUAAUAUCUGCCAGCCGGAGACAUAACGUACCAGCGAACAACAGUGCAGAACGUGCCAGCAAAAACCUUCUGCUCUAGAUUUUAAUAAAUAUUUUAAAAACAACUUACAGCUGUCACAGAAUGAGUUACUGCUCCCGACUGAUGAGAAACGAUAAGGCUGCAUUCACACAAC